CGGGGCAUGGCGCAGCUUUGGUAGCGCGCGCCGUUCGGGUCGGCGAGGUCGUGGGUUCGAAUCCCGCUGCCCCGA
RNAcentral lists this transfer RNA (75 nucleotides) under Chloroflexota bacterium. RNAcentral describes it as "Chloroflexi bacterium tRNA-Pro". It matches the Rfam family "tRNA". Rfam says of the family: Transfer RNA (tRNA) molecules are approximately 80 nucleotides in length. Their secondary structure includes four short double-helical elements and three loops (D, anti-codon, and T loops). Lineage: Bacteria; Bacillati; Chloroflexota. The record is from RNAcentral.